CAAUAGCGUAUAUUAAAGUUGUUGCAGUUAAAAGCUCGUAGUCGGAUUUUGGCAUCAUGCCGAACUGUCAGCCGAUUGGUUUGUACGGUUUGGCGGGUGCUCUCCUUCCGGAGGCUCGUUUCCUCUUUCAUUAGAGGGUUCGAUGGUUCCGGGUCUUUUACUUUGAAAAAUUAGAGUGUUCAAAGCAGGCCUAUGCUCUGAAUAGGUUAGCAUGGAAUAAUAGAAAAGGACCUCGGUUCUAUUUUGUUGGUUUUCGGAACUUGAGGUAAUGAUUAAGAGGGACAGACGGGGGCAUUCGUAUUACGGUGUUAGAGGUGAAAUUCUUGGAUCGCCGUAAGACGAACUACUGCGAAAGCAUUUGCCAAGAAUGUUUUCAUUAAUCAAGAACGAAAGUCAGAGGUUCGAAGAUGAUUAGAUACCA
Molecule: ribosomal RNA, 421 nt
Filed under: uncultured eukaryote
Lineage: Eukaryota
Description: bacterial SSU rRNA
Rfam family: Eukaryotic small subunit ribosomal RNA
Source: RNAcentral